This 787-nucleotide ribosomal RNA is filed under the name Pseudomonas aeruginosa. Its description in RNAcentral is "bacterial SSU rRNA". It matches the Rfam family "Bacterial small subunit ribosomal RNA", at positions 50 to 831 of the family's 1533-position model. The record is from RNAcentral. Lineage: Bacteria; Pseudomonadati; Pseudomonadota; Gammaproteobacteria; Pseudomonadales; Pseudomonadaceae.
UACACAUGCAGUCGAGCGGAUGAAGGAGAGCUUGCUCCUGGAUUCAGCGGCGGACGCGGUGAUUAAUGCCUAGGAAUCUGCCUGGUAGUGGGGGAUAACGUCCGGAAACGGGCGCUAAUACCGCAUACGUCCUGAGGGAGAAAGUGGGGGAUCUUCGGACCUCACGCUAUCAGAUGAGCCUAGGUCGGAUUAGCUAGUUGGUGGGGUAAAGGCCUACCAACGCGACGAUCCGUAACUGGUCUGAGAGGAUGAUCAGUCACACUGGAACUGAGACACGGUCCAGACUCCUACGGGAGGCAGCAGUGGGGAAUAUUGGACAAUGGGCGAAAGCCUGAUCCAGCCAUGCCGCGUGUGUGAAGAAGGUCUUCGGAUUGUAAAGCACUUUAAGUUGGGAGGAAGGGCAGUUAGUUAAUACCUUGCUGUUUUGACGUUACCAACAGAAUAAGCACCGGCUAACUUCGUGCCAGCAGCCGCGGUAAUACGAAGGGUGCAAGCGUUAAUCGGAAUUACUGGUCGUAAAGCGCGCGUAGGUGGUUCAGCAAGUUGGAUGUGAAAUCCCCGGGCUCAACCUGGGAACUGCAUCCAAAACUACUGAGCUAGAGUACGGUAGAGGGUGGUGGAAUUUCCUGUGUAGCGGUGAAAUGCGUAGAUAUAGGAAGGAACACCAGUGGCGAAGGCGACCACCUGGACUGAUACUGACACUGAGGUGCGAAAGCGUGGGGAGCAAACAGGAUGAGAUACCCUGGUAGUCCACGCCGUAAACGAUGUCGACUAGCCGUUGGGAUCC